Molecule: ribosomal RNA, 459 nt
Filed under: uncultured bacterium
Lineage: Bacteria
Description: partial 16S ribosomal RNA
Rfam family: Bacterial small subunit ribosomal RNA
Source: RNAcentral
CCUACGGGUGGCAGCAGUGAGGAAUAUUGGUCAAUGGCCGGAAGGCUGAACCAGCCAAGCCGCGUGAAGGACGAAGGUGCCAAGCAUUGUAAACUUCUUUUGUCAAGGGACAAAAUCAGGCUCGAGAGCCUGACCGAGGGUACUUGAAGAAACAGCAUCGGCUAACUCCGUGCCAGCAGCCGCGGUAAUACGGAUGAUGCGAGGGUUAUCCGGAUUUAUUGGGUUUAAGGGGUGCGUAGGGGGGCUGUUAAGUCAGAGGUAAAAGCCCGGGGCUCAACCCCGGAGAGCCGUUGAAACUGGCUGGCUGGAGAUGUCGAGAGGUAUGCGGAAUGCGGAGUGUAGCGGUGAAAUGCUUAGAUAUUGCGCAGAACUCCGAUUGCGAAGGCAGCAUACCGGCGGCGAACUGACGCUGAGGCACGAAAGCGUGGGUAUCGAACAGGAUUAGAUACCCCUGUAGUC